GAAGGUUAAUAGUUCAGAACAAAACCGGGUAAUACACCACCACCCCCCUCCUUGGGCUUUGCCACUUCUGAAAGGAAUAGAAGCUUGUUGACUCAGCAUAGAAGAGGUAUGGGUUGUGCGGCAGGUAUUAUUAUUAUUGCCGGCCUGUGAAUAAACAGAGCUUCUGCUAUUCGUUUGAGUUUCAGACAGCUUUCAUAAAAAAAAAACCCUCAAAUUCAUCUAAAAUAUUUUUAUAACAGAAAAUAUUGGUUGCCAUGUUUUUGGCUUCUCUGAGAUGUUUUUAUUCCAACUCAUAAUCUGCAAACUGUCCAAUCCACCUCCACUCUAUUUUUAGACAUCUUACAUUUAGAGAAUUUUCAGGGGAAUAAAAGCUAAUAUUGUAAUUAUUACAUUGGCACACGCAGUUAAUUUAUGUUAUUUUAACAACCUUAAACAUAUUAAAACACAUAAUUCAGAUUAGAGUUAGUCAAUUAAUUUAAAUGUUCCCUCAAGGAAGCCAAAUAUGUAUAUUACCCAAACAGUAACAACAAUUAAUAAGAAUUAUGACAUUUGCUUUCUUAGCCAUUAAGAUUAAAGCCAUAAACUGUCAUUAAAAUCUAUAACUAUUUCUUACUGUGAGAAGAAAGAUUAUCUUACCAUGUAGUAAGACAGUCUUCU
Molecule: long non-coding RNA, 657 nt
Filed under: Marmota monax (woodchuck)
Lineage: Eukaryota; Metazoa; Chordata; Mammalia; Rodentia; Sciuridae
Source: RNAcentral